Molecule: long non-coding RNA, 668 nt
Filed under: Fukomys damarensis (Damara mole-rat)
Lineage: Eukaryota; Metazoa; Chordata; Mammalia; Rodentia; Bathyergidae
Description: lncRNA (ENSFDAG00000027936.1)
Source: RNAcentral
GGAGGGGAGACCGCUGCUUUGCUGUCUUAUGCAUCAAGAAUGCUUAACAGUGCACACAUAAAUAAAAGUUUCGCAGAUGGAGAAAGAAGGAAAAGAAUGAGAAUCCUAAGUAGCAGAGAAAGGUUCAAGGUUAAUUUGAUGGGCAAUACAUGAAAAGCCACUUACCUGAGGCCAUUUCAAAUUGCCCUUUAUUCUCUCCACAGUGAAUGAAACGAUUCUUCCCAAAGACAGAGGGAUCAGCUGAUAAUGCCUGCUGUUACAUAUGCAUACCCCACUUUACAUGCUGUAGCUCACUUGCAAGUCUCUUCACAGAUGCCCUGGCAGAGGGGUGGAACUCAGGCGCCCUCGCGGGCACUGGGGGCCUGGGAGAGACCACACCUGUGGCAUGCAGGUGCUCCGUGGCCCGCCUGCCACAGUGCUUGCUGGAGGACACUUCCCAAAGACUUGGUGCACGAUUCAAAAACUCACAUUGAAAUCCAUGACUUUAUCAUUGAGUUUCCAAGUUGCAAUCCAGUAACACAUGUGACCCCAGUGAACUGGAGUUCAGUUCUUCCCACAUCCGUUUGCUGUCUGUCAGACACCGGGCAGGAGGGUGGACAGUUUCACCUCCACGGAAGCCGGCUGAAGUCAGGAUCCCAGACACAGCCGGAGACAGAGCUCCUAAGUGC